RNAcentral lists this transfer RNA (69 nucleotides) under Hodotermopsis sjostedti. Its description in RNAcentral is "tRNA-Ser". It matches the Rfam family "tRNA". Rfam says of the family: Transfer RNA (tRNA) molecules are approximately 80 nucleotides in length. Their secondary structure includes four short double-helical elements and three loops (D, anti-codon, and T loops). The record is from RNAcentral. Lineage: Eukaryota; Metazoa; Arthropoda; Insecta; Blattodea; Termopsidae.
AGCCAAAUAGCUUAAGAAAGCAUUUUACUUUGAAAGUAAAAUAAAGGAGUUAGAUCCUCCUAUUGGCUU